ACAAGCACCGGCGGACGGCUCAGUAACACGUGGACAACCUGCCCUCGGGAGGGGGAUAACCCCGGGAAACUGGGGCUAAACCCCCAUAGGAGAUGGAUACUGGAAUGUUCCAUCUCCGAAAGUCCGCAAGGAGCCCGAGGAUGGGUCUGCGGCGGAUUAGGUAGUUGGUGGGGUAACGGCCUACCAAGCCUAAGAUCCGUACGGGCCAUGGGAGUGGGAGCCCGGAGAUGGACCCUGAGACAAGGGUCCAGGCCCUACGGGGCGCAGCAGGCGCGAAACCUCCGCAAUGCGGGAAACCGCGACGGGGUCAGCCGGAGUGCCGAUGCUUGCAUCGGCUGUCGGGGAGCCUAAAAAGCUCCCCAUAGCAAGGGCCGGGCAAGGCCGGUGGCAGCCGCCGCGGUAAUACCGGCGGCCCGAGUGGCGGUCACUAUUAUUGGGCUUAAAGCGUCCGUAGCCGGGUUGGGAAGUCCUCCGGGAAAUCUGGCCGCUUAACGGUCAGAAUGCCGGAGGAUACUCCCAGCCUAGGGAGCGGGAGAGGCCGAGGGUAUUCCCGGAGUAGGGGUGAAAUCCUAUAAUCCCGGGAGGACCACCUGUGGCGAA
RNAcentral lists this ribosomal RNA (600 nucleotides) under uncultured archaeon. RNAcentral's name for it is "bacterial SSU rRNA". It matches the Rfam family "Archaeal small subunit ribosomal RNA", at positions 71 to 670 of the family's 1478-position model. The record is from RNAcentral.